This 58-nucleotide transfer RNA is filed under the name Camelus bactrianus (Bactrian camel). It matches the Rfam family "tRNA", at positions 7 to 64 of the family's 71-position model. From Rfam's summary of the family: Transfer RNA (tRNA) molecules are approximately 80 nucleotides in length. Their secondary structure includes four short double-helical elements and three loops (D, anti-codon, and T loops). The record is from Rfam by way of RNAcentral. RNAcentral also lists the same sequence under 2 other names. Lineage: Eukaryota; Metazoa; Chordata; Mammalia; Artiodactyla; Camelidae.
AUAGCUCAAUGGUAGAGCACUGGCUUAGCAUACCUGAGAUCCUGGGUUCAAUCCCAGU